Molecule: ribosomal RNA, 227 nt
Filed under: uncultured Nitrososphaerota archaeon
Lineage: Archaea; Thermoproteati; Nitrososphaerota
Description: uncultured thaumarchaeote partial 16S ribosomal RNA
Rfam family: Archaeal small subunit ribosomal RNA
Source: RNAcentral
ACGGUGAGGGAUGAAAGCUGGGGGAGCAAACCCGAGAAGAUACCCGGGUAGUCCCAGCUGUAAACGAUGCAGACUCGGUGAUGAGUUGGCUUCUUGCUAACUCAGUGCCGCAGGGAAGCCGUUAAGUUUGCCGCCUGGGGAGUACGGUCGCGAGACUGAAACUUAAAGGAAUUGGCGGGGGAGCACCACAACGGGCCAAGCCUGCGGUUCAAUUGGAGUCAACGCCG